UGCCUGCAAUGGCCUAACAGGGAAUUUGUAAAACAAAGCAGCCCCCGCUACUGUAUUAGUGGACGAAGUCUUUAUGCUUCAAACCAUGCUUAAGCCCUUUAUCCUUAAGCGGAUCAUUUUGAAGCGUCACUGGAAACCCGGGAAGACAAAGACCGAGGAUGAAACUGAGCCAGGAGACCUGCUGUCAUG
RNAcentral lists this non-coding RNA (189 nucleotides) under Candidatus Copromonas avistercoris (nom. illeg.). RNAcentral also lists the same sequence under 1 other name. The record is from RNAcentral. Lineage: Bacteria; Bacillati; Bacillota; Clostridia; Lachnospirales; Lachnospiraceae.